This is a long non-coding RNA of Bubalus bubalis (water buffalo), 1850 nucleotides long. RefSeq lists it as uncharacterized. NCBI's taxonomy places the organism in Eukaryota, Metazoa, Chordata, Mammalia, Artiodactyla, Bovidae. The transcript has 2 exons. The record is from RefSeq and is a predicted model, not a curated record.
CUCAUCCUCUGUUGCUCCCUUCUCCUCCUGCCCUCAAUCAUUCCCAGCAUCAGGGUCUUUUCUAAUGAGUUGACUCUUUGCAUCAGGUGGCCAAAGUAUUGGAGCUUCAGCUUCAGCAUCAGUCCUGUAGGUAACUAAAACCCAGGAUGGCCAUUCUUUCAGUCAUUUUACCUUUGUCCAUUCAUCUGUCCCUCGUCCAUCCACCCCUAAAGGGCUGUCAGUGGGAAGAGGGGUCAGUCUGGCCUUGUGUUGUGUUAGUCCAGAGAGCAGGGUUAGGAGCUAUGGAUAGGAGCAUGUUGUAGGUGAGAGGUGGAUAAGCAUUGGUGGUUGGACCUGAGGGCUCUGCAGUCAGUCUGCCUGUGUCUGAGUCCCUGUUCACCUCUCACCCUGUGACUGGGGUGGAUAACCUCCCUGCGCUUCAGGUUUGUCAUCUGUCAGAUGAUGUUUAUCAUAACACCUACUUCAUACUUGGUGGUAAGGAUUGAGUUAGUUCUUGUGCUUAGAAGCAUUUUAUUUAUUUAUUUUUUUGGUGACUGCUGAAUGCGUGAUUACUCUUACCUGGAGGUGGGAGAUGAGGUGGUAUUUUGUCUCAGAAUAAUGUCCAAGAUUGCAGUGCUCUCAGAAGGGGCUCUGGCACCUCCUGGAGCCCGCGCUCCCCGCCGUUGGCCAGGUGGCAGCCCCUGCUGGGGACCCUGCAGGCCGAGGGCUCACCCCCACUCUGCCAGGAGGGCGGCACUGAUAGCCUCCAGAGUCUCCAUCUCCAGCUGUCCGCGCGCCCCUCAGCAACCUCUGUGAGAUGUCUUGCUCUUAAUCCUUUUUACCCAAGGAAAACUCUUUUUUGCCCUUUUACAUCUUCUGUUGACAUUUAAAACUCCUUCCCUUUGUUCUGACCUUAUUGAAUAGAGAGCAUAAUUUCUUGGAAUUCUCUGUAUAAUGAAUGCUCAUGUACUUACAGAUUCUGGUCAAGUUUCUCCUCAACCUUUACUUUGAGGGAACUUGCAUCAUUUGGUACAGAAAAAAUUUUAGGAAGCACUUAGAAGGAUGGUGUAAGAUGAAAAUGCUGCCUUAGCUCUCACUAUUUCUGCACAUGUGAACCCCUUGUAAUACAGAUACCAGCCAAGUUACCCUGCUCUUAGCGAUUGCAUUGAAAUUGGUUCAGACUCCUCUAAUUGCAUAUGGUAGGAAUGCUGCAGGCUUCUCAGGCCCUCUUCAAGUUUUCCUGAAGCUGACAGGGUGGGGAGAUCUGUGUGGGUGGGACUGUCUCCUCAAAUCAUUCCUGGCUCCUCUUUCAUGCCUGCAGUAGAUGACAUCAGCUUGUACAUCACACUGGCCUGCUUUGUCAUCUCUGUGACACAGUGUCUCACCUGCAGGACAAAUGGUCCAAUCCCCUCACUCUUCUAAAUACUCCCACCAGGAUUCAGGAUGUAGGGAGAUUUUGACUGAAGUACUGGGGCAAAGAAGGGAAUAUUUGGAGACAGGCAUAGAAGGAGAACACCAGAUGGACAUGAAGACAGCCAUCUGCAAGUCAAGAAGAGAGGUCUGGAACAGAUCCUUUCCUCACUGCCCUUGGGAGCAACCAGUCCUGCCCUGAUUUCAGGCUUUUGGCUUCCAAAACUGUGAGACAGUACAUAUCUAUCUAUCUACCACCCAGUUUGUGGUACUUUGUUACAGGCAGCCCUAGAAAACUAACACAUAAUUCUACUCAAACUCUUCCAGGAAAUCAAAGAAGAGGAAACGUUUUCCAGUUUGUUCUAUGAGGCUACCUUGGUACCAAAGCAAGAGAAGGAAGUAAUAGACUAGUAUCUCAUGAACAUGGAUGUAAAAUUUUUAAAUAAAAUUUAGCAAAUCAA